GACGAACGCUGGCGGCGUGCUUAACACAUGCAAGUCGAACGGAAAGGCCCUGCUUUUGUGGGGUGCUCGAGUGUCGAACGGGUGAGUAACACGUGAGUAACCUGCCCUUGACUUUGGGAUAACUUCAGGAAACUGGGGCUAAUACCGGAUAGGAGCUCCUGCUGCAUGGUGGGGGUUGGAAAGUUUCGGCGGUUGGGGAUGGACUCGCGGCUUAUCAGCUUGUUGGUGGGGUAGUGGCUUACCAAGGCUUUGACGGGUAGCCGGCCUGAGAGGGUGACCGGCCACAUUGGGACUGAGAUACGGCCCAGACUCCUACGGGCGGCAGCAGUGGGGAAUAUUGCACAAUGGGCGGAAGCCUGAUGCAGCAACGCCGCGUGCGGGAUGACGGCCUUCGGGUUGUAAACCGCUUUCGCCUGUGACGAAGCGUGAGUGACGGUAAUGGGUAAAGAAGCACCGGCUAACUACGUG
Molecule: ribosomal RNA, 468 nt
Filed under: uncultured bacterium
Lineage: Bacteria
Description: partial 16S ribosomal RNA
Rfam family: Bacterial small subunit ribosomal RNA
Source: RNAcentral